Molecule: long non-coding RNA, 1178 nt
Organism: Myotis brandtii (Brandt's bat)
Lineage: Eukaryota; Metazoa; Chordata; Mammalia; Chiroptera; Vespertilionidae
Exons: 4
Source: RefSeq, a predicted model, not a curated record
CCGGAGAGGCCACGAUCCCGGGGCUCGCUUCGGCGGUGCCGGUGGCCGAGCACCCGGAUAUCCUGCUGGCACGGGAUCAAAUGGUGGAUGAAGGCGAAGCCACCACCACGCGCCCCGAGUCGUUCGACUAAAUCAUCACAAGUAAUGACGGAGCUGUCUCUGCGGGUAGAUGUCCUGCCAGCCACGUGCCAGUGGACCAGUGGUAACAAGACGAGAUGGAGGUCCCGGGCCAAGACUGUGUCCCUGACCAAAUGUUGUAACAGAAGUACCGAGGUCCCAGGUGUUUUUGACUCACGUGUAGACAUUCCUUCUAAUGAAGUCUAAUAGCUGCGGGGCUGGCACAGAACUUGGUGGCUGGAUGCAGUGUGUCGAUGUUUUUAGUUUGGUGAAGUCGACUUGGUGUCGGUCUCACACGUUACAGAUGUGACUUCUAGAAAGAAUCGUUUUUAUUAGAAAGUCUCGGGACUCUAAUUUCAGGAAGUCAUUUUGGGUAAGGUGAAUGCCUAUAAUGAAAGAAUUUGGACCUCUUCCAAGAAACAGGCUGGAAAAUUCCCCUGCGGUUAUGUCAUUGGAAGUGCUUUCUGCUUUCCCAGGUCCAGUUCUCCUCCCGCUGCAGUUGUUACGCUGUGGCUAUCCCUGCCCUCAAGAUGCGCACAAUAGAAAUGGGAGACAGAGUCGUGCCCACUCUAGAGAACAGAGAAAAGUCUAAAAUAGAGAUGGUACAACAUGCUCUGGGAAGAAGAAAUAAGUUCACCAGGACAGCAGGAGGGGUGUGAAGAGAAAUGAUUGGAAAUACAUGUGUAUUCUCAACACAGAAGUUUUGUGUGUUUUUUUUAAAUUCAGGACUUGAAAUCUCCAACCACAUCUACCUAUUCAUCAUUCCAGACAUUUUGCUACUUGGUAAUGCAUUCUUUGGAAAUAUUUGACUUAAAUUAUCACUAAGAAGCAACAAGAAAGAGAAACUUCCUUUUUUGGAUAGCCAAUUUUGAUAAUAAAGCUUGCACCGUUUCAGGAUGUGAAGGACACGUCAUGGGCUUGCAGUAUUCCAGGACCAAGUUUCCAGCAGGAGAGAUGGAAAGAUAAUAUUAGCUGCUUUCGGUUAGCUCUGUGGGGAAAAAUUUUUUUUCUUGGGUAAAAUUUCAGUGAAUAAAUGGCAACAUAACAAAUCUUAAAACCUC